GACUCAGUGGUAGAGUAUUUGCCUCGCAUGCACAAGGCCCUGGGUUAGAUUCCCAG
Molecule: transfer RNA, 56 nt
Filed under: Heterocephalus glaber (naked mole-rat)
Lineage: Eukaryota; Metazoa; Chordata; Mammalia; Rodentia; Bathyergidae
Rfam family: tRNA
About the family: Transfer RNA (tRNA) molecules are approximately 80 nucleotides in length. Their secondary structure includes four short double-helical elements and three loops (D, anti-codon, and T loops).
Source: Rfam by way of RNAcentral